CCCAGGACACUGCUGAACCAUCGAUCGCAAUUGCCCAAAACCCAGGUGAGGAUCUCUGAAAGUGAAAUACCCAAGGCCAUUCACCUAGGAAGAAGCAAUGGCUUCUAAAACUGCAGACAUGGGAGAGACAGGCAAGCUGCAAAGGGAAGUCGACGAAAUAAAAUUAAAGCCCUACAAUCGUGUUCGUGUCAAUGUAGAUGGGGUGCCCCCCUCGGUUUGCUCACAGAGGUGGGUGUGAGAUCCUACAGGACGGUCUGGAAGACAUCCCAUGGAAGGCACUUUAUUUUGCCCAGAAGCUGGAGGAAAAGCAGAAGGAGACUUUUGGCCCCUGAAACUCAUUCCAAAAAUUAUACUGAAGAAGUGAGAUCUCUAGGUACAUUAGUUUGCCAAGUAUGCUGCUGGAUGUUCAUUCAGCACUAGUGUUUAACAAAAGCCCGGUUUUAAAAUCAGAGGAUAUGAGUUGGGGGGGCCUUGAGGGCGCUGAACACUGACUAAGAGGAGAGAGCGCACAUUACAUGGAGACCAUGGUCCCCAUACCAGAAACAUGAGAGUAGAGAGAAGCAAAGCCAGCAUCGUGGAGCCAGUCCCUUUAUCCAGGAUCUUGGAGGGAUACAGUCUUCUGUAGAAAUUAAAUAAAGACUGAAUUCUUCAAUGGGUAUUUUGAGAAGAGAGCCACUGUAAGCUUAUACACUGUGAAUUGCAAAAUGUUACUGCCUCUGGGUGGACAGGUUUUAAAAAGACUUUUUUUUUUCCUCCUGGCAUGGCUGACAGAGGGAAGGCUGGGUUUCAAUCCCAUCUUUCCCUUCCCUUGCCCAGUGCUUCUUUAUGUGCACAACCUGCACAACUAUAUGUGGUUUGCAAACACGCAUAAGCAAAGACUAACAGCUUCUGAAACAAACUCUGAAUAAAAGAGGGAGCAUAUUAAGGCAGAUGGCAGAGGAGGUGAGCAGCAUGGGCAGAUAGAAGCAUCACAGAGACUACAAGAAGAAUGUGCCAGACCGGCUCAUAGUGGCCACACUGAUUAAGAAUUACCAUCAGCUCUUUAGGAUUUGGAAACUUGGAAACACAUUGUGUGUUCUUCCUGGUUUGUUAUAGAGUAUGUGUAUGUACUUCUUUCUCUUAAAAAUAUUUAUUUUUAAAGAAUUGACUUAUAAAAUUAUAUGUAUUUGUCAUGUAUAACACAAUAUUUUGAAGUACAGUCCUGUGUCAUAAGGAUAUGUUCUGAGAAAUCCAUCAAUUUUGUCAUUGUAUAAACAUGAUAGAGUGUAUUUACACAAACCUAGGUGGUAUAAACUACUACACACCUAGGCUACAUAAUGUAGCCUAUUGCUCCUAGGCUAUAAACCUGUAUAACAUGCUACUGUACUAAAUACUAUAGACAAUAGUCACAUACUGGUGAGUAUUUGCGUAUCAAAACAUAUCUAAAUAUAGAAAAGAUGCAGUAAAAAUAUGGUAUUACAAUCUUAUGAGACCACUAUAGUAUAUGAGGUCCAUCAUUGAUUAAAACAUAGUUAUAUGGUGCAUGACUGUAUAUAUGCAUUGUGGAAUGGUUAAAUCUAGCUAACUAACAAAUGUGUUAUAUCACAUAGUUAUUAUUUUUGAGGUGAGAAUACAAUAUUCACUCUCUUAGCAUUUUUUAAGAAUACAGUAUAUUAACUAUAGUCACCAUGCUGAAUGGUAGAUCUCUGGAACUAAUUUCUCCUAUCUAAGUGUGAUUAUGUACCCUUUGACCAACAUCUUUCUAACCCCACCCCACAAACACCCCAUAAUAAAGCCUCUUGUAACCACCAUGUGCUGAUUGGUGCAUUUACAAUCCUUUAGCUAGACAGAAAAGUUCUUCAAGUCCCCACUUGACCCAGAAAGUCCAGCUGGCUUCACCUCUUAAAACUACUCCACCUGAGGAUACAUGACAAAUUGGAGAACUUCAACGCAGUGAAAUACAGAACUGAAAGUGCUGUAACAAUUAAGAGCUUUCUUGGCACCAGAAGCAGCCUUCCAUCAGCUUCAGUGCUCAGCCUGCAUUCCCCCGCCUUAACCUUUCUCCCACGGGAGAACACGGUUUUUAGAUCAAAAAGAAUUGUACUCAAGGAAUUGAAGCUAUGGAGCCUCUGCCACAUCUGGACCUGAUUUUGAUGACAAGAUCCUGUACCUCAAGCCCGAGACUAAUUUCAUAAUUUGAUGAAUCUUUUUGGAGAGUCAUGGGAGGAAUGUAAACAAUUUGUGGCCAAAGGAGAAUUAUGGUAGUUUGAAGAUGUGGAUACAAAUUAUUUGACAUUCUUCUCAUAGAAAGGUAACUCCAUAGCUGGGAGCCAAGUCUCGAAGCCCCAUGAGGGGAAGUGGAUACAUCUCAGAAUUGGGUUUCCUGAUACACACGACUGCAUCCUUCAUCUGCCAGGCCCUGGCAUUGUUUACUGGAGAAGAUGUCAUAGGAAAUUGGGCUAUGUCAUUGAGCCACUGGAGUCACAC
Molecule: long non-coding RNA, 2466 nt
Filed under: Homo sapiens (human)
Lineage: Eukaryota; Metazoa; Chordata; Mammalia; Primates; Hominidae
Description: long non-coding RNA NONHSAT149400.1
Source: RNAcentral